Molecule: non-coding RNA, 72 nt
Organism: Phrynosoma platyrhinos (Desert horned lizard)
Lineage: Eukaryota; Metazoa; Chordata; Lepidosauria; Squamata; Phrynosomatidae
Source: the annotation of a GenBank genome assembly
GGUUCUAUGGUCUAAUGUUUUGAGCAAUGGACUACAACUCUGGGGGUCAGGGUUUGAUUCCCUGCUGAGCCA